This 83-nucleotide transfer RNA is filed under the name Spirochaetia bacterium. RNAcentral's name for it is "tRNA-Ser". It matches the Rfam family "tRNA". From Rfam's summary of the family: Transfer RNA (tRNA) molecules are approximately 80 nucleotides in length. Their secondary structure includes four short double-helical elements and three loops (D, anti-codon, and T loops). Lineage: Bacteria; Pseudomonadati; Spirochaetota; Spirochaetia. The record is from RNAcentral.
GGAGAGGUGUCCGAGUGGUCGAUGGUGCAUGCUUGGAAAGCAUGUGAACGAAAGUUCCGGGGGUUCGAAUCCCCCUCUCUCCG